UCUCUCCAAAUUAAUCACUCACUGGGUGUACAAACCACACUUGAAAGCAGACCCCAUGCCCAGCAGUAUGUAGCCAACACAAAAGGAACUCAAUGGCAUUUUUGGAAGGCAUUUCAGAAUUCACUUAUCAGCCACAAGAUUGGUUCGUGUCUCGACAUCUGUAGCUUCAGCACACAAUGAUGGGAAAAUAAAGGAAAUCAGAUUUGAACAAGGAAGCUACAUUGUCCAAUAGAUUUUGAGUAGGUUUAAGCAUCGCUACAGUUGGGGUCUUGAAUGGCUUGGUGCCUGCUCUACAAUGUAUUGUCAGGUUGGACAGAAUUGACAGCUUGACAACGAUGAGUCUUCCUAUCAACUGUUGGCAUUUAUAAAAACAGCAUUCCUAGAAGAUAAACAAACAAACAAAUCAAAACAGAUGAGCGAAGACAUGUUUGCUUCAUUGCUGAUGUGAUGGGGAACAUCCAGCUCCUUAACAGUAAAUAUAUUACUUGUAAGGUUUAUAUGUGUAUUAUUUCCACUAAAGAAAGAGUCACUUGUAGUUAGAGUUUUAAGGACCCACGGUGAGCUAUUGGGGGUUUCCAAAGGCCUUUUUUAUGUUGAUAAG
RNAcentral lists this long non-coding RNA (601 nucleotides) under Cricetulus griseus (Chinese hamster). RNAcentral's name for it is "lncRNA (ENSCGRG00015030202.1)". Lineage: Eukaryota; Metazoa; Chordata; Mammalia; Rodentia; Cricetidae. The record is from RNAcentral.